RNAcentral lists this ribosomal RNA (253 nucleotides) under uncultured bacterium. RNAcentral's name for it is "partial 16S ribosomal RNA". It matches the Rfam family "Bacterial small subunit ribosomal RNA", at positions 524 to 776 of the family's 1533-position model. The record is from RNAcentral.
UACAGAGGUCUCAAGCGUUGUUCGGAUUCAUUGGGCGUAAAGGGUGUGUAGGUGGCGCGCUAAGUCGGGUGUGAAAUUUCGGAGCUUAACUCCGAAACUGCAGUCGAUACUGGCGUGCUUGAGGACUGGAGAGGAGACUGGAAUUCAUGGUGUAGCAGUGAAAUGCGUAGAGAUCAAGAGGAACACCAGUGGCGAAGGCGGGUCUCUGGACAGUUCCUGACACUGAGACACGAAGGCCAGGGGAGCAAACGGG